GACGAACGCUGGCGGCGUGCUUAACACAUGCAAGUCGAACGGACACUUUUGAUGAGCUUGCGAUUUGAAAGUGUUAGUGGCGGACGGGUGAGUAACGCGUGGGCAACCUACCCAUAAGAGGGGGAUAACAGUUGGAAACGACUGCUAAUACCGCAUGAUAUUACCGGGUCACAUGGCCUGGCAAUCAAAGGAGCGAUCCGCUGAAAGAUGGGCUCGCGUCCGAUUAGCCAGUUGGCGGGUAAUAGCCCACCAAAGCGACGAUCGGUAGCCGGACUGAGAGGUUGAACGGCCACGAUUGGGACUGGGACACGGCCCAGACUCCUACGGGAGCAGCAGU
Molecule: ribosomal RNA, 337 nt
Filed under: uncultured bacterium
Lineage: Bacteria
Description: bacterial SSU rRNA
Rfam family: Bacterial small subunit ribosomal RNA
Source: RNAcentral